RNAcentral lists this long non-coding RNA (4478 nucleotides) under Manihot esculenta (cassava). Its description in RNAcentral is "long non-coding RNA (MESC_LNC011441)". Lineage: Eukaryota; Viridiplantae; Streptophyta; Magnoliopsida; Malpighiales; Euphorbiaceae. The record is from RNAcentral.
CAACACAAAUUUCAACUUAAAUCAAACACUUUAUAUAUUCUCCCAUUAAUCUCAACACAAAAAUCUCAUACCAAUAAUCAUAUAUUUAUAUCAAAUAAAAUUCUCUAAACACAUUUAAUUUACGAUUACAUAUAAAAAUUUUACAUCACCCAAUUUAUUAUGUGAUAUUAUUUAGCAGAUAGCAAAAUAGUGCAGAUCAGACAACAGGUCGUCGGACGACCACUUCAGCAGACUAGAUUGGAUGACUUCUCAAGUCGGACACCACAGGUCGGACACCACUCCAAUAGACCAGGUCGAACAAUUUCAUAGAUCAGAUACCACUCCAAUAGAGCAGGUCGGAUGGCUACUCCAAGUGAUGGAGUUAGAUGACUAUUUCAGAAGAUAAGAUCGGAAGGACAUUCUACAAGACUGUUUUUCCAUCUUCGUGCUAACUACACAAAAUAACAGAAAAAUCUUUUCUCUCUCCUGACUGACAUAUUUUCUGUUGUAAUAAUAGCUGUAUAUUAUUAUGUGUACCUUUUCAGAAUAGUCGAUAAAGUUGUAUAUAAACACAUUCUUCUCAAAUUUAAAAAAAAAAAAGUGAGAGAGAGUAUUGCCUUAGCCUUUAUAUUCCGACUAAGUCCUUUUUGUUAUAUGGAUGGUAUCAGAGCACACCUGUGCUAUAUCUCAUUCUCUUGAAAACUCUAAUGGCAGAGGAUUUACUUAGAAAAACAACCUCAUAAAUCGUGAAUCAAAACAAAAAUAAAAAAGAGAAUGAGAGUGAUUUCCACAGGCUUCAAAAUUUAGAUAAUCCAUGAAUGCAACUAGUUAGUGCUCUUCUUAUUGGAAAAAAUUAUCUGUCAUGGAGCAGGUCUAUGAUGAUUGCUCUGAGGAUCAAGGAUAAACUUGGUUUUAUGGAUGGCACUUUUGAAAUGUUACUUAUCGAGUCUCUAAACUUAGAGAAAUGGAGAAAGGUGGACAGCAUGGUCACCACUUAGAUAUUAAGCUCACUGUCAAAGGAACUGAUUGAUGCAUUUGUAUAUGCACCAUUUUCUCAAAUACUUUGGGAAGAAAUUAAGGAAAAAUUCAGAUAGAGUAAUAGACCUCUCAUCUAUCAAAUCAAACAGAAGAUAAGUUCUCUCACUCAGACUAAUACCUUUGUCAUGAUUUAUUUUACUAAAAUGAAAAGAUUGUAUGUGAAUGUUGUGUAUCCAAACUGUUGGAUGAAAUUUGCAAUGAGAAUAAGUUGAUUCAAUUCUUAAUGGGCUUAAAUGACAAAUAUGAUCAUGUUAGGAAUCAGAUCUUGCUUCUGGAUUCCCUCCCAUCUAUUAAUAAAACUUACUCAAUACUGGUUAGAGUGGAAAAAUAGAGAGAAAUAUAUAGUGACACAGUGGGAGACUCCAACUCAGUUAUGAUGAUUAGAAACCAACCACAGGUUGAGAAAAUUCAAAAUAAGAAAAAGGAAUGGGCAGAAAGGAGAAUAGAACUUGUGGUUACUGUAAAAGCAAUGAUCACACAGGGGAAACAUAUUUUAAGUUUCAUGGGUAUCCAUAAUGGUUCACCGAGUUAAAACAAAAGAAGAUGAAAGAAAAAUGACUGAUUGUUGCAAGUGUGUAGGAAACACGAUGGAUGCUGAUGAUAAAAACAAUGACAAACAAAAAGGUAGUCAAGUGAAUUGGAUAAAUCUAAUCUAGUAGGAGGUGGCAAUAUAUAUAUAUAAUUAAAAUCUAGUCACAAAUAAGGCAAGCUAUGUCAAUUUCUUAGGAUUUGCAGGUAAGAAUACUAGGAACUGCCCUACUAGCAGACAUAGAAAAAAUUAUGUAUGAAUAAUAUAAUCAAGUGCAUCAACUCAUAUGUGUAGUGACCUAUCUCUAUUUCAUACCAUUUCCACAAUACCAAAUAAAAGCACUAUAACUAUACUCGAUGGAAUAUCCAAGUAUGUUUACGAUUUUUGAACCAUUGGACUUUCACCUAAAAUAAUUUUAUACAACACUUUAUAUGUUCCUCAUUUUAAACACAACUUAUUUUUAGUCAAUAGCCUUCCUAAAUUCUCUAAACUAAUAGCAAAAUUUUCUUCUGAAACAUGCUUUAUAUAAGACCGAGUGACUGAAGAGGUGCUGGCUGAAGGAAAAUAGCAAAAAGAACUCUAUAUUCUAAUAAAUAAAUCUCUUACUAGCUGUAAUAUAGUUUGUGACUUUAACACUGCUUGUAUUUUAACUACCGAGCUAAACCCCAUACAUUAAAAAAAUAAAGUUUUUCAUUAAUACUCUUAUCAAAAUUCCUAUGAAUUAUGGCAUUCAAGACUUGGUCAUACAUCACAUACAAAAUUAACUUGUAUCUUAGCCAUUCAACCAGAAAAAUAAGGAAAAUUAAGUGUGUGAAGUAUGUUCACUUUUAAAAUAACAAAGGUAAAGUUUUCAGAAAAAUAAAAUAACAAUUGAAAUUAUUUUUUUAACUAAUUCAUAUUUAUUUAUAGGAUCCGUAUUUAACUCAUUCAAUCUCAAAUAUAAAAUACAUUUUGACUAUAGUGGAUGAUUUUCCAAGAGUCACUUAGACAUACUUUUAGCAUGAUAAAUUUAAUGUGCAUAACAUCCUUCAUAAUUUUAUCAGUAUGAUACAAAUUCAAUUUCAUAAAAAGAAUCAAAGUAAUAAAAUCGGAUAAUGGAAUAAAAUUCAUAAAUAAAUAAUGUGAAACUCUUUUUAAAACAAAAGGAAUUUUAUAUCAAAAAAUAUAUUCAUACACUCCACAACGAAAUGAUAUCGUGGAGAAAAAAUAUAAACAUUUAUUACAAGUAACAAAGGCUAUAAUGUUUGAAUCUAAACUGUCAAAAUAUUUUUGGACAAAAAGUAUAUUAACAACUACUUAUAUCAUAAACAGAUUGCCAAGCUUUAUUUUGUAUUGAAAAACCUCUUAUGAAAUACUUUUUGGACGAAUGUCGACCUAUAAACAUUUAAAAAUCUUUAACUGUAUAUUUUUUUUGUUACAAAUACAAGGUCUAAAAAGGAUAAAUUUAAAUAAAAGUAAUGCGGAGCAAUUAAUUUUAAAUUUCAUAAAAUACUUGAACCGAAUUUAACUGUUUUUUACGAGGUCUGUUGAAGGCCUAAAAGAAUCUUUAAAAAAAAAAUAUCGAGAUGGACGACUUUCAGAAAUUUAACAAUAAGGUAUUUACACUUAAAUUUAUAAAUUAUUUUAAUUUCACAAAUUUACCUUUACCCUUUUAUAAUUUUAACCGAUUUACAAUUUAACACUUAAAAUUUACAUUAAAUAUUAUUUUUCAUCAUAUAUAUUUAUUAAAUUGUCAUACCACAUUUAAUAUAAUGAGUUAAAUCUCAUUUUACUUUUAAAUUUGGAUUAAUCCUUAUAAUUUUAUUUAAAUUUCUCUUCUAAUCUAAAAACUUUCUCAAAUUCUCAUUCAACAUCUCAUUCAAUUUAUAACUCAAUUACUUUAACUUAAUUUUUAUAAUUCAUAAUUUUUAUCCUUUAUAACUUUGUAAAAAUUUCUAUUUAACUCAAAAACUUCUUUAUUUUUUUCGUCAUUCUUAUUUAUAAAACUAUUUAUUUAAUAUAUUUAUAAUACUUUUAACUCGUAAUUUUUAAAUUCUCCUUAAAAUUUUAGCUUUACUUCUCUUUUACCCUUUCUUUUUUUUUUUUCUUAAAAUUCCACUUUAAUACUUUUCUUUAACAUUUAACAUUAAAUAAAAUAUAUCAAUUUCUCAAACAUACUUCAUUUCCUUGACAAUUUUAGCUAACUCCUCUUCUUUCCUUCAGAAUUUUCAUCUUAAUCUAAAAGAAUUUUAAUAUCUUUAUUUUAAUCCAAAUUACUAUUUUAACAUGUAAAGUUUUAAGUCCAAAUAAUUUCUAUAAGUUUUAUAAUUAAAUCUUUUCUUGAAUUUUGAUCAAAUUACAUAUUGAUACUAAGAUUUUCAUUUUAUCAUUUUCUUCAUUUGUUCUAACUUCAAAUAUUCACUAUAAUUCAAGUACUAUUUAUUUGAUUCAAUUUCUCUAAUAUAACAAAAAUUCAAAUUAAAUAUAAUUGAAAAAUUGAGUAUUAUUUAAGAAAAAUUGAGGACAAAUCUUUUUCUUCAAAAUCUCCACAAUUUCUUCCCUUCUUUUUCCUUUCAAAGUUCCCCUUUCUUUUCCUUUCAAAUUUCCCAAAUUCUUCUCAAUUUAAUUUUCAUGAAUCAUAAAAAAAUAAAUAUAAUUUCUCUCUUAAUAAUUCUUAUAAAUACAAUAAUAAAUACUUAUAAAUUAAAAUCUCCAACAUACCUUUAAAAUUCUUAUACCGAUCACUAUUUCGUCUUUCUCCAACUUUAAAAUCUCUCUUCAAUUUCUAUUCUUUUCUUAUUUAUCUAUCAAAAAAAUAGUUUGGGUGUAGUGAAGAUUUAACUUUUGGGUAGCAAUGGAGAAUUUUUAUUGUAAGCAAAAUGGAAGAUGGAGGAAGUAUCUCUUCCUUCGGCAAGAAAAGAGGAAAGUAGAAGAAGAUAGGUCAGGUUUUUCA